ACUAGGAGUAGAGCAAUGGUUUUCGUUGGAAAGGUUAUGCAAAAGAAGACGAUUUUCUGUUUCAUAUUCCCUAGCACACCUGCCCGACAGAAGUGUCCUGUUGCUGUCAGGAGUGAUUCUGAGCCAAACCAAAGGCUGUCCACACAGAAAAAGUGCCAAGAUCAUGACAAAAAACUCCCACCACCGCUCCAUGGAGAAAGCCAUGAUGAGAGAGGAGCACACCCCAGUCUGAGGAGCAUCUCCCUGUAGAGAUCUGUGGCCAUACUGUGAGAGCUUCGUUCAGUACUGCUGUGCUGCUUUUCAAGUAGUCAUAGCAAAGCUCAGAAGAGUCAUGACACCUCAAGAAGAGCCUGGAGUCAGGGUGAUGAUGGAUUUACACCUUCCCUUUCCUCCUUGUGGCUUCAGUGGAGGAUUUGGCUAAAGCAAGGGAGUUAUGGCUGAGGUUACUUUGUCUAGUUUCUUUUGCUCUUCCUUCAUUAUGAGGGUCAACAUGUUGGACUCUGUAAUAAAACCCCCAUCUGCCUACCA
RNAcentral lists this long non-coding RNA (528 nucleotides) under Anas platyrhynchos platyrhynchos (common mallard). Its description in RNAcentral is "lncRNA (ENSAPLG00000026291.1)". The record is from RNAcentral. Lineage: Eukaryota; Metazoa; Chordata; Aves; Anseriformes; Anatidae.